Molecule: long non-coding RNA, 536 nt
Organism: Oncorhynchus keta (chum salmon)
Lineage: Eukaryota; Metazoa; Chordata; Actinopteri; Salmoniformes; Salmonidae
Exons: 3
Source: RefSeq, a predicted model, not a curated record
UGUGUGCCCUGGUCUAAAGUAGUGCACUAUAUAGGGACUAGGGUGUCAGAGCUCUGUGUGCCCUGGUCUAAAGUAGUGCACUAUAUAGGGACUAGGGUGUCAGAGCUCUGUGUGCCCUGGUCUAAAGUAGUGCACUAUAUAGGGACUAGGGUGUCAGAGCUCUGUGUGCCCUGGUCUAAAGUAGUGCACUAUAUAGGGACUAGGGUGUCAGAGCUCUGUGUGCCCUGGUCUAAAGUAGUGCACUAUAUAGAGACUAGGGUGCCAUUUGGGAUACAGUAAUACAGAUAGAUGAUAUGGAUAAAUGAGGAAAUGUUUCUAGCAUCUAUUCCCAUGCUAUCAGUUGAUAUCAAUCUCAGGAUGUUGACCCUCAACACGGAGGUUAGAGGGUAGAGGGGAGGCAAGGCAGGGGGAAACUGUAUGGCAGAGGAUUGGUCCUACAGUACAUGUGCUGCUUAGAGAGAGAAGUGGAGAGGUGAAAGAGAGAGACAGAGAGACAACGAGAGAGAGAGAGAGAGAGAGAGAGAGAGAGAGAGAGA